RNAcentral lists this ribosomal RNA (444 nucleotides) under uncultured bacterium. RNAcentral's name for it is "bacterial SSU rRNA". It matches the Rfam family "Bacterial small subunit ribosomal RNA", at positions 331 to 792 of the family's 1533-position model. The record is from RNAcentral.
CCAGACUCCUACGGGAGGCAGCAGUGGGGAAUAUUGCACAAUGGGGGAAACCCUGAUGCAGCGACGCCGCGUGAGUGAAGAAGUAUUUCGGUAUGUAAAGCUCUAUCAGCAGGGAAGAAAAUGACGGUACCUGAUUAAGAAGCCCCGGCUAACUACGUGCCAGCAGCCGCGGUAAUACGUAGGGGGCAAGCGUUAUCCGGAUUUACUGGGUGUAAAGGGAGCGUAGACGGCAGCGCAAGUCUGAAGUGAAAUGCCGGGGCUUAACCCCGGAACUGCUUUGGAAACUGUGCAGCUAGAGUGCAGGAGAGGUAAGUGGAAUUCCUAGUGUAGCGGUGAAAUGCGUAGAUAUUAGGAGGAACACCAGUGGCGAAGGCGGCUUACUGGACUGUAACUGACGUUGAGGCUCGAAAGCGUGGGGAGCAAACAGGAUUAGAUACCCCAGUA